GACAGAGGGUGCAAACGUUUGUUCGGAAUUACUGGGCGUAAAGCGCACGUAGGCGGCUUCUUAAGUCGGUGGUGAAAUCCUGGAGCUCAACUCCAGAACUGCCUUCGAUACUGGGAAGCUCGAGUCCGGGAGAGGUGAGUGGAACUGCGAGUGUAGAGGUGAAAUUCGUAGAUAUUCGCAAGAACACCGGUGGCGAAGGCGGCGAUCUGGGUCGAUACUGACGCUGAGGUGGCGAAAAGCGUGGGGAGCAAACAGG
RNAcentral lists this ribosomal RNA (256 nucleotides) under uncultured bacterium. RNAcentral describes it as "partial 16S ribosomal RNA". It matches the Rfam family "Bacterial small subunit ribosomal RNA", at positions 524 to 776 of the family's 1533-position model. The record is from RNAcentral.